CACAAGUGGACAGGACGUUUGUCUUCCUGGUUACUCAGAAUUCCAACCUUUCUAUCCUGGCGAGUAGAUGCAUCUCCAUGAAAUGGGGAGGAACAUUGUAGUGUCCUGAAGAAGGCACCAUUUGCCCCACCUCCUUUUGCCUGCAGCUGCCUCAGGCUAAAAUUCCUAGCAUGCCAAAAUGAAGGGGUGCAGGUUCAAAGAAGUGAAGUGGAUCUAUACAUUGAGGUGGACUGAAGGAGAGAACUUUGAAGAAGAGAAAGAUCUACCCCUAAAUCAAUCCAUUCUCUUCUGCUGUGUUGCUGUGGUUUCCAUUGAGGAUCACCAGAGAGAGACUCACCGCUACUUUUCUUCCAUCCACAGUCUGAAUUCCUGAUUGACAUGGGAUGAAAUAAUUGUAUUUCCACUCCAAUUGUCUCUGUUCCUGCCACCUGAAGAGAAACCAUGACUCUUGAGGUGAAUUGCAUGUCCUAGAAGAAGAACAAAGAACUGGAGUCAGACAGAUGGAAUUGCAAGAUUUCCACCUGGAGAAAUGACUGACUUCAUCUUUCUGACUGUCCUCAGUUUAUUAUGGAAAGACCAGCUG
Molecule: long non-coding RNA, 583 nt
Organism: Talpa occidentalis (Iberian mole)
Lineage: Eukaryota; Metazoa; Chordata; Mammalia; Eulipotyphla; Talpidae
Exons: 6
Source: RefSeq, a predicted model, not a curated record